This 463-nucleotide ribosomal RNA is filed under the name uncultured bacterium. RNAcentral describes it as "partial 16S ribosomal RNA". It matches the Rfam family "Bacterial small subunit ribosomal RNA", at positions 28 to 507 of the family's 1533-position model. The record is from RNAcentral.
GAUGAACGCUGACAGAAUGCUUAACACAUGCAAGUCGAUGGGGAAGUGGUGCUUGCACCAUGGUAACCAUGGCGGACGGGUGAGUAACGCGUAAGGAACUUGCCUGCGGGACUGGGAUAACAGCAGGAAACUGCUGAUAAUACCGGAUAAGGUCAUUAAGCUGCAUAGCUUAGUGAUGAAAGGAGACGCCUGCGGAGAGCCUUGCGUCCUAUUAGCUAGUUGGAGGGGUAACGGCCCACCAAGGCGAAGAUAGGUAGCCGGCCUGAGAGGGUGGACGGCCACAAGGGGACUGAGAUACGGCCCUGACUCCUACGGGAGGCAGCAGUGGGGAAUAUUGGACAAUGGGGGCAACCCUGAUCCAGCAAUUCUGUGUGCACGAAGACGGUUUUCGGAUUGUAAAGUGCUUUCAGCAGGGAAGAAGGAAGUGACGGUACCUGCAGAAGAAGCGACGGCUAAAUACGUG